Molecule: unclassified non-coding RNA, 184 nt
Filed under: uncultured Rozellomycota
Lineage: Eukaryota; Fungi; Rozellomycota
Description: uncultured Cryptomycota sequence contains ITS2
Source: RNAcentral
ACACUAUCAACUCUAGUUAAGAGUUGGAACUGACCUCAUAUGCUGUUUGCAUAUCUGGUUUGAAUGUAUUGAGUUGAUGAGCUUCCCAACACUGCUCAAUGUGUGCUAGCGAGACAGUCGUCCCGAUCUCACAUUAUAGCUUUGUUGCAAGGUUCUAUUCACAACUUUUUAUUAAUUUUAUCGA